This 486-nucleotide ribosomal RNA is filed under the name uncultured bacterium. RNAcentral's name for it is "partial 16S ribosomal RNA". It matches the Rfam family "Bacterial small subunit ribosomal RNA", at positions 30 to 507 of the family's 1533-position model. The record is from RNAcentral.
AUUGAACGCUGGCGGCAUGCCUUACACAUGCAAGUCGAACGGCGGCACGGGUGCUUGCACCUGGUGGCGAGUGGCGAACGGGUGAGUAAUACAUCGGAACAUGUCCUGUAGUGGGGGAUAGCCCGGCGAAAGCCGGAUUAAUACCGCAUACGAUCUACGGAUGAAAGCGGGGGACCUUCGGGCCUCGCGCUAUAGGGUUGGCCGAUGGCUGAUUAGCUAGUUGGUGGGGUAAAGGCCUACCAAGGCGACGAUCAGUAGCUGGUCUGAGAGGACGACCAGCCACACGGGGACUGAGACACGGCCCAGACUCCUACGGGAGGCAGCAGUGGGGAAUUUUGGACAAUGGGCGAAAGCCUGAUCCAGCAAUGCCGCGUGUGUGAAGAAGGCCUUCGGGUUGUAAAGCACUUUUGUCCGGAAAGAAAUCCUUGGCCCUAAUACGGUCGGGGGAUGACGGUACCGGAAGAAUAAGCACCGGCUAACUACGUG